GCUGGGUGGGGCUUCACCCAUUGAACAUCUGGAGCUGAGUUCCCCCUGCAGAAGGAAACAGAGCUGGCCCAGGCACGAGUGCUCACUCGUGUUGUGCCCGAGCGUGUGGUGCCAAGUGCGAUAGCCGUUACCCGCCAAGGCCAGGGCAGUUUCAUUAGAAACCCUUAUUUUCGGAAUUUUAUAACCCGGCCACAAAAAUGCACUGCAGGCAAAAAUGCUAGCUUACGUCUGGAACUCAAUGGGUUUAUUUUAUAAAUUUUUAUGCAUUUUCCACACAUAAACAAAUGGCCAGAGAGACCAUUCUUUCAUGGAAGGCUGGCGGGAGGAACACUGAGACAGGACUGGCUAGCAGGGUGGGGGCCCCCUGGGCAUUUCCAUGGCAACUUUCCUCUGGCCUUUCACAGGUCUCUAACUCCGUCCUGACCCGAGCUUUUGAAAGCUCCGUUGGGCCUGUUGCUAUUCCAAGUUGUUUUACGUGCAUUCUUAAAAUUCAUUUUUUAUUAUUAACUGACACAUAAAAAUGGAGUCUAUUUACGGGGUCCCAUGCGAUGCCUUGAUCCAUGGACGCACUGUGGAAUGUCCAAUCAGGGCAACGGAUCUGUCACCUUGUGCCUUUAACAUUUUUUUAUGGCAAAAACCCUCCAAAUCCAGACUUCUACUUUUUCUUGGAGAACUGCACAGCGCCCCCUUAAUCCAUCCUCCUCCUCCCGGAAACUGAGAGCCAGGGCCCGAGUCCCAUCUGUCACUCGCUACCUGUGAAAUGCGCUUCGGCCAGUCCCCAAAUGGCACCUCCUCCUGCUGCACGGCAGUGGUGGGGUGAAUAAGUGUCCCCCCGAAGUUCGUAUCCGCUCAGCCCUGGGACGCGACCUGCUUUGGACCUGGGCUCCCUGGAGACGGAAUCAAGUGGGCACUGUCCCUGGUCGCCGAGCCGCCCGGAUCCAGGUGGGCGCUGUGUGACCAGGGGACACUCUGCGACCACAAGACACAGCCAAGUGUGUUCUCAGGCCACCCUGAGCCGGCGCACCCCAACCCCACGUCCCAGCAGGGCCUCGUGGCAGAAGCAGGCCACCCUUCUGUCGCGCGGCCAGGAACGAGGCAGCCACGCGGUGCGUCUCAGUCCCCGAUGGAUCAUCUCAAGUGCCGCGUGGACAGACAGGGCCUCGGAGCGCAGGUACCGCAUUCUGCGCUGCUGCUCAGUGAGCCGGGACGGCUCUCCCGGUCCCGCAGCUGAAGACCUGGGCGGGACGGAAGGCCUGGGGAGGCUCCGUCUCCUGUCUCAGUGUCGGAGCCCUGGUGCCGGUCUCUGGAACAUUCCAGAGACUGAGCUCCAUGGUCACCCCUCCUUGGCCUGGGCAUUGCGACCUCCAUAAUCACUUCAUGAGCCAGUUCUUUAGUGUGCAUGUCGUGUGUAUGAAUAUGACGCGUUAAACAUAUAUAAGGUAUACACUACAGAUUGUGCAUAUUAUUAUACCAUAUCCUAUGGGCCUGUAUCAUAUAAUAAGCUAUAUUCUAAAAUUACAAUUUUAGAAUAUAUAUAUGGGUGCUUUUAAAAGUUCAUGGAAAACAUGUGUUAUGAAAAAACUAUGUAUGGACUUGAAAAUGUUCUUGCCCCAAAAUAAAGCUUCCCUGGGAGCAGGCCCUUCA
This is a long non-coding RNA of Oryctolagus cuniculus (rabbit), 1644 nucleotides long. Lineage: Eukaryota; Metazoa; Chordata; Mammalia; Lagomorpha; Leporidae. The record is from Ensembl.